AGAAAUCCCACAUUUACAUAUCCAUAAACACUUCCAAAUUGCCCACUCGGCAUGUGAAGGCACACUAUACCCUCAACUUUGCGUCUCAACUCUCCUAAGCCUCCCAGAUCUCACUUCCAAGUCACUCCCAGAAUUCAUCUCCGCCACCAUAAACCGCACAGUUUAUGAUGUUGGAGUCUCCUCCUCCAACUGCAGCAGCAUUAGAAACGAGCUUAGAAAGCCAGACAAAAUUGAAAAUAUAGCUCUCAAUGACUGCCUAGAACUCUUCACUGACACCAUUGAUGAGCUCAGAUUAGCACUUUCUGAUCUCUCCCCCAAGACAUCACCCUCCAAACAUUACCACGAGUUGCAGACUCUGUUAAGCGCUGCA
Molecule: unclassified non-coding RNA, 370 nt
Filed under: Hevea brasiliensis (rubber tree)
Lineage: Eukaryota; Viridiplantae; Streptophyta; Magnoliopsida; Malpighiales; Euphorbiaceae
Source: RNAcentral